GGGGAUAUAGCUCAGUCGAUAGAGUGCUUGCCUCACAUGCAUAAGGCCCUGGGUUCAAUCCCCAGCACCACCA
Molecule: transfer RNA, 73 nt
Filed under: Marmota marmota marmota (Alpine marmot)
Lineage: Eukaryota; Metazoa; Chordata; Mammalia; Rodentia; Sciuridae
Also listed under: 3 other names
Rfam family: tRNA
About the family: Transfer RNA (tRNA) molecules are approximately 80 nucleotides in length.
Source: Rfam by way of RNAcentral